AUCUUGCUGGAGGUCUCUGCUGACCUGAAGCCUUCUAAGUCUUGGCUACCCAUUAGAUGUGUGCGCCCUUAGAGAAAAGAUAAUGAUUGCAACUAACUGUUAUAGAGAGGGAGAAUGGAAGAGAGAGGGAAAUCAGGGCUCCUCUGAAGUCUUUCUCCCCCUCAGACUUUUCCAGGGACUACCAAAGUGCCUGCUGGUCAGUGGGCAUCCAGAUCUAUUCUGUGCUGCAAGGAGCAGUUUGGAUAAGGAGGUCAUGAGAAAUUAUCUGAAAAGCUGUCUCGCUAGAAUUACACCAACUAUCGCCUCAUCAACAUUCACUACCUCUACUGUAGCACGAAGGAGAAAAACACCAACAGAAGAUGUAAAGGAGAAGAGAGAAGUCAGAGGAAUAACGUUUCUGAAGCGGACCUAAGCGGAGGAAAAGCCUUCCUUCACCUGCUGCUCCUGGCUGAGGAGGAGGAAAGUCCUGAAGUGCUUUUUGCUCCAGCCUAUGCAUCAGCCCAUCUACUGAUUUUAGCAUAUUUUGCAAAGUCCUGAAGGGCAAUCCCCUAUAAAGUAAGGAUGUAGGCAAUUAAUAAGCAACCUUUCCCUGGUCCGUUUUGCAGCAGAACUUAUCUUGCCCCAGCAGUUUACUGCCUCAGUCUGUGGGAAUUUGGGCCACUGAAUAAUUCACAGUGGAAUAUGAAUACCUCAACUGGAAUGAAAUGACACUGGGUCUGGGCUGCAGAAUGCUGCACUUCAGCCUUGCAUGGAUAUUAGAGACCAUGCUUAACUGGCACAGUACAUUUUAUAGAAUAGGAGUUUUGGAAGGUAAGAGGUAAAAAUAAAAAUAAUCAGUUUCCAUAUUCUUGACAUGUUGCUACUGAUGGAUGCAGGCUUGGUCUUUUUCCCCUGUCCCAACAUAAAUACAUUUAGAGCUGGGCAUGUAAGCACUUCAGCCUGUAGAAGCAAAACAGCCAAGUUUGCUCAGGAAGAUCACCAAUAGGUGAUGUGUAUUCAUUGCUGUGCCAUCUGAUGCAAGCCCAGCUGGAGCCCCUCCAUGUGCUUUGGAAGAGACCCAGAUCUUCACUCAGUCCAUGUUCAGUAUGUGAGCCAAGGCUUACCAGGAUGGCAUCUGAAGCAGCCUUAGGAAGGAGAUUAUGAAAGUGCAUUGCUGUUGCAGCCAGAACGCGAACAUGCACGUGUGAGCACGUGUACUCGUGAACAAAGAGGAGGUGGGAUUGUGGAUAAACUGUAGGCAAUG
This is a long non-coding RNA of Gallus gallus (chicken), 1243 nucleotides long. Lineage: Eukaryota; Metazoa; Chordata; Aves; Galliformes; Phasianidae. The record is from Ensembl.